RNAcentral lists this ribosomal RNA (746 nucleotides) under uncultured bacterium. RNAcentral describes it as "bacterial SSU rRNA". It matches the Rfam family "Bacterial small subunit ribosomal RNA", at positions 104 to 851 of the family's 1533-position model. The record is from RNAcentral.
GGGUGAGUAACGCGUAUCCAACCUGCCCACCACUUGGGGAUAACCUUGCGAAAGUAAGACUAAUACCCAAUGACGUCUCUAGAAGGCAUCUGAAAGAGAUUAAAGAUUUAUCGGUGAUGGAUGGGGAUGCGUCUGAUUAGCUUGUUGGCGGGGUAACGGCCCACCAAGGCAACGAUCAGUAGGGGUUCUGAGAGGAAGGUCCCCCACAUUGGAACUGAGACACGGUCCAAACUCCUACGGGAGGCAGCAGUGAGGAAUAUUGGUCAAUGGACGAGAGUCUGAACCAGCCAAGUAGCGUGCAGGAAGACGGCCCUAUGGGUUGUAAACUGCUUUUAUAAGGGAAUAAAGUGAGUCUCGUGAGACUUUUUGCAUGUACCUUAUGAAUAAGGACCGGCUAAUUCCGUGCCAGCAGCCGCGGUAAUACGGAAGGUCCGGGCGUUAUCCGGAUUUAUUGGGUUUAAAGGGAGCGUAGGCCGGAGAUUAAGCGUGUUGUGAAAUGUAGACGCUCAACGUCUGCACAGCAGCGCGAACUGGUUUCCUUGAGUACGCACAAAGUGGGCGGAAUUCGUGGUGUAGCGGUGAAAUGCUUAGAUAUCACGAAGAACUCCGAUUGCGAAGGCAGCUCACUGGAGCGCAACUGACGCUGAAGCUCGAAAGUGCGGGUAUCGAACAGGAUUAGAUACCCUGGUAGUCCGCACGGUAAACGAUGGAUGCCCGCUGUUGGUCUGAAUAGGUCAGCGGCCAAG